CCUACGGGGGGCGGCAGUAGGGAAUCUUCCACAAUGGACGCAAGUCUGAUGGAGCAACGCCGCGUGAGUGAAGAAGGUUUUCGGAUCGUAAAGCUCUGUUGUUGGUGAAGAAGGAUAGAGGUAGUAACUGGCCUUUAUUUGACGGUAAUCAACCAGAAAGUCACGGCUAACUACGUGCCAGCAGCCGCGGUAAUACGUAGGUGGCAAGCGUUGUCCGGAUUUAUUGGGCGUAAAGCGAGCGCAGGCGGAUUGAUAAGUCUGAUGUGAAAGCCUUCGGCUCAACCGAAGAACUGCAUCAGAAACUGUCAAUCUUGAGUGCAGAAGAGGAGAGUGGAACUCCAUGUGUAGCGGUGGAAUGCGUAGAUAUAUGGAAGAACACCAGUGGCGAAGGCGGCUCUCUGGUCUGUAACUGACGCUGAGGCUCGAAAGCAUGGGUAGCGAACAGGAUUAGAUACCCUGGUAGUCCAUGCCGUAAACGAUGAGUGCUAAGUGUUGGGAGGUUUCCGCCUCUCAGUGCUGCAGCUAACGCAUUAAGCACUCUCGCCUGGGGAGUACGACCGCAAGGUUGAAACUCAAAGGAAUUGACG
RNAcentral lists this ribosomal RNA (587 nucleotides) under uncultured bacterium. RNAcentral's name for it is "bacterial SSU rRNA". It matches the Rfam family "Bacterial small subunit ribosomal RNA", at positions 338 to 915 of the family's 1533-position model. The record is from RNAcentral.